AUGAUUCUGGCGAUCAAACCUUCUGGAUCGAGCCCUGGGCGACUCCCGCAUCUCGCCGGCGCCGCUGCUGCUCCAACCGUUCGUCACCAUCCCCUCAGGCCUCCCUCGAAGGUGCGAGGUCACCCUCGAGUUUGGCUUCAUGCUCCGCGCCCAGUCCGACCCUCCCCGGAGACUGACGACCACCGGGACGAGCGCCACGACCACCACCCGAAGCCGCGGCACCGUCGACGGCCGAACCCCUUGAGCUCUGAGCUCCGUCCCAGGGGCCCCUGCCCGACCCCGUCACCCAGCGCCGCCUCACGCCACACCGGAGCCGCCGCCCCUCGCCCCGCGACCCGCCGCCCCUCCCUGCCUUCGCCUGCCUCGCCGGAGUCGCCGCCUGAGACGACGACCAUGCCUCUACUUGCUUGCCUGCGGCCUGCGGCGUGGCUCAGAGAGUGGUCCAGUAUGGCCCAUCUUCAUCAACACACGUUCAAGACCCUCGCGAGGGGCCAAGCCUCGCGGGGCGGACGACAAGAGGCUUCCUCGAGCAUAGUCUUGUCAGACUGGCUCGCGAGGAGGCGGAGAGAUCAAGGCGGGGUACCUCAUGAGGCGCCCAUGACGCAAGCCAUGACGACCGAGGCCAGGCGGGCGCCAGGCGGGUGCCGGCCUGCACAGAGUCCUAUUUCCUCUUUGGUGCAAAGGGGGCAAGCGCAGGCAAGAGUAUCAAGUAAAGACAACCAUUUCGGUGCAACAAGACCAAGACCAGCAGGACGGCAGGAUGGAGGUCAUCGUGGAGCCCAAGCCGGCAUCACCGUCAGGGUCUUUGGCAGACGAGGACCGACUUUAGUCAGGAUAAGUGUACUAGAUGUUCCCCUUCAAAAUGGCCAAUUGUUGGCUUCCUUUCUGCUCAAUUUUUGGAAAGAGGCCCAGGGCCUCCAUCUAUAA
Molecule: ribosomal RNA, 927 nt
Filed under: Triticum aestivum (bread wheat)
Lineage: Eukaryota; Viridiplantae; Streptophyta; Magnoliopsida; Poales; Poaceae
Description: partial small subunit ribosomal RNA
Source: RNAcentral